This 200-nucleotide long non-coding RNA is filed under the name Daucus carota (carrot). RNAcentral's name for it is "long non-coding RNA (DCAR_LNC002271)". The record is from RNAcentral. Lineage: Eukaryota; Viridiplantae; Streptophyta; Magnoliopsida; Apiales; Apiaceae.
AACAAUGACUAUUCAAGUAAUGCAAUAUGCCAACAUUACAGAAAAUAUGAAGGGCUAAUCUUUUUCUAGUGCAUAGUCUUUUCAUGCAAGUGAAUGUUAUCUUUAUGUUUGUACUUUAUGUGUGUAUAUUUUGUACUCUACAUGACCUAUUUUCAUUUACAAUUAGGAAACUCUCAAAACCUGUUCUCAAGAGCAGGUUU